This is an RNA transcript of Physeter macrocephalus (sperm whale), 634 nucleotides long. It is a transcript of the gene named dual specificity phosphatase 13A, with no coding region annotated. The record is from RefSeq and is a predicted model, not a curated record. NCBI's taxonomy places the organism in Eukaryota, Metazoa, Chordata, Mammalia, Artiodactyla, Physeteridae. The transcript has 4 exons.
GAGGCAGAGAGGAGAGACCGCAGAGACAGAGGGGCAGGUGGGCUGGCCCAUGGCGGAGGCCUCGCUCCCACAGCUGAGGGGAGAUGCCGAAGCCACACCUUGCCCCAGUGUCCUGGAACUGGAGGAGCUCCUGAGGGCAGGGAAGUUUUCUUCCAGCCGCGUGGACGAAGUUUGGCCCAACCUUUACAUAGGAGAUGCGGCCACGGCAAAUAACCGCUUUGAGCUAUGGAAGCUGGGCAUCACCCACGUGCUGAAUGCUGCCCAUGGGGGCCUCUACUGUCAGGGAAGCCCUGACUUCUACGGCAGCACUGUGAGCUACCUGGGGGUGCCAGCCCACGACCUCCCUGAGUUCGACAUCAGUGCCUACUUCUCCUCUGCAGCUGACUUCAUCCACCGUGCCCUCAGCACACCUGGGGCCUUGGGACAUUGCCAUCUGGUACCUAGAUGUCUGGCUUCUGUCCCAAAGUAUUUUCGAAUGGAAAAAAUCUUCUAAUACCAGGGGUACAACAAAGGAUCCUGGGGAAGCUGCUUCGUGUUCAUCCUGGCCAGGGUCCUGGUGCACUGCGUGGUAGGGGUGAGUCGCUCUGCCACGCUGGUCCUGGCCUACCUCAUGCUGCGCCAGCAGCUGUCCCUG